UCUGCUACUUUCUGCUUAUUUUGCACCCUUCUGCUCCUUUCUCAUUCUGAUCCCUUUCUGCUCCUUGCAGACCCUUUCUGCUCCCUUUUCUACUUUACCUUUGUGCUCCUUGCUGUCCCUUUGUGCUCCUUCUCCUACUUUACUUUUGUGUUCCUUCUGUUUCUUUCUGCUCCUUUACCUUUGUGCUCCUUGCUGUCCCUUCCUGCUCCUUGCAGGCCAUUCCUGCUCAUUCUCCUAUUUUACCUUUGUG
This 250-nucleotide long non-coding RNA is filed under the name Pelobates cultripes (western spadefoot toad). The record is from RNAcentral. Lineage: Eukaryota; Metazoa; Chordata; Amphibia; Anura; Pelobatidae.